AGAGUUUGAUUAUGGCUCAGGAUGAACGCUGGCGGCGUGCCUAACACAUGCAAGUCGAGCGAUUACUUCGGUAAAGAGCGGCGGACGGGUGAGUAACGCGUGGGUAACCUGCCUCAUACACAUGGAUAACAUACCGAAAGGUAUGCUAAUACAGGAUAAUAUAAGAGAUUCACAUGGAUUUCUUAUCAAAGCUCCGGCGGUAUGAGAUGGACCCGCGUCUGAUUAGCUAGUUGGUAAGGUAAUGGCUUACCAAGGCGACGAUCAGUAGCCGACCUGAGAGGGUGAUCGGCCACAUUGGAACUGAGACACGGUCCAAACUCCUACGGGAGGCAGCAGUGGGGAAUAUUGCACAAUGGGCGAAAGCCUGAUGCAGCAACGCCGCGUGAGUGAUGAAGGCCUUCGGGUCGUAAAACUCUGUCCUCAAGGAAGAUAAUGACGGUACUUGAGGAGGAAGCCCCGGCUAACUACGUGCCAGCCGCCGC
RNAcentral lists this ribosomal RNA (482 nucleotides) under uncultured bacterium. RNAcentral's name for it is "bacterial SSU rRNA". It matches the Rfam family "Bacterial small subunit ribosomal RNA", at positions 8 to 518 of the family's 1533-position model. The record is from RNAcentral.